GAUGAACGCUGGCGGCGUGCCUAACACAUGCAAGUCGAGCGAACAGACGCGGAGUUUGUUCCUCUGACGUUUGCGGAGGACGGGUGUGUCACACGUGGAAAACCCACCUAUCUGACUGGGAUAACUUCGGGACGGCGGAGAUAAUACCGGACAAUAUAUUGAAGCGUAUGGACUUUUAGUGAAAUAUGGCUUUGGUGGCUGUUCUAGCUGGCUCCGAGCUGCUUUGGGUGGUUGGUAAGGUAACGGCCUACCAAGGCGAGCAUGCGUACGCGACCUGAGAGGGGGAUCGGCCACACGGGAACGGGAACACGGUCCAGGCUCCUACGGGAGGCAGCAGUAGGGAAUCGGACGCAGUGGGCGAAAGCCUUACAGAGCAACGCCGCGUGUGAGAUGAAGGUCUUCGGAUCGGAAAGCUCUGUUAUGAGGUGAAAACAAAUGUGUGAGUAACUGUACACGUCGUGACGGUACCUGAACAAAAAGCCACGGCUAACUACGUG
Molecule: ribosomal RNA, 497 nt
Filed under: uncultured bacterium
Lineage: Bacteria
Description: partial 16S ribosomal RNA
Rfam family: Bacterial small subunit ribosomal RNA
Source: RNAcentral